GACGAACGCUGGCGGCGUGCUUAACACAUGCAAGUCGAACGGAAAGGCCCAGCUUGCUGGGUACUCGAGUGGCGAACGGGUGAGUAACACGCGGGUGAUCUGCCCUCCACUUUGGGAUAAGCCUAGGAAACUGGGUCUAAUACCGGAUAUGAACAACUGUCGCAUGGUGGGUGGUGGAAAGCUUUUGCGGUUGUGGCUGGGCCCGCGGCCUAUCAGCUUGUUGGUGGGGUAAUGGCCUCCCAAGGCGACGACGGGUAGCCGACCUGAGAGCGUGAUCGGCCACCCUGGGCCUGAGACACGCCCCAGACUCCUACGUGCGGCAGCGGUCGGGAGUCUUGCACAACGGGCGCACGCCUGUGGCGGCGACGCCGCGUGCGUGAUGACCGCCUUCGGGUUGUAAACCUCUUUCACCAGGGACGAGGCGUGCGUGACGGUACCUGGAGAAGAAGCCCCGGCCAACUACGUG
This 466-nucleotide ribosomal RNA is filed under the name uncultured bacterium. Its description in RNAcentral is "partial 16S ribosomal RNA". It matches the Rfam family "Bacterial small subunit ribosomal RNA", at positions 28 to 507 of the family's 1533-position model. The record is from RNAcentral.